RNAcentral lists this long non-coding RNA (277 nucleotides) under Elaeis guineensis (African oil palm). Its description in RNAcentral is "long non-coding RNA (EGUI_LNC009624)". The record is from RNAcentral. Lineage: Eukaryota; Viridiplantae; Streptophyta; Magnoliopsida; Arecales; Arecaceae.
GAAUCAUUAUACAUGAUCAUCAUCACAUGUAUAUACUAUUUUACUGUUAGUUUUGCAUCGUUGGAUUUGAGAUCGAUGAAUUUAUCAUAUAUGAGACACUGUUAUUUAUUUAUGUGAUUGCGAGUAUGAAUAUGUUUUAUCAAUACAUAUGAUGGCAUGAUUAUAUAGAUAUGACAUGUUUGUUUUUAAUUACACUGCAAAAUUUGAAUUGAUUAAUGAAGUCAAAUAUUAUACGUCCAUGAAAAAUAAAAAGAAAGGAAAAUAUGAUUUGGACUGA